CAGAAGCUUUGCCAGUAGCCAUGCUGUGUCUAUACAAAACCUCUAGCAAAAGCAUCACUUAAUCCCUCUGUGAUUGAUCUGAGCAAGGGAGAGUUACCUGGUGACAGCAGCUGAGUUAGACCUGAAGUAAACUGUGGUUAAAUGUCCGUGGCAAGAUGAAACAGAAGGAAAAUUACUGCACACACCCAGCAUCCCUGGGAAACUGGGAUCAAGUAAGCUGACCAAAACUGCAUUAGUGCUGGUGAAACCAGCAGUUGUGCUCUCAACUUUGUGUCCGUUGUCUCAUGAGGAAUAAAGGGGAAAGUGUAAAUUGCUUAUAUAAAGCUCAGCAGGCAAUUAGUUUUUUAGAAAAGAAUUGCAGUAAAAUAGACCCUGGUGUGGGUGUGAAGGAUGGACCUUUGAAGUCUAACUGCGAUUGUAAGUUAUGCAUACUUGUGGCCUCUGGGAUCUUUUCUAUCUAACGUGUUACCAAAGUUCAGUUUUUUGAAAGACAGCUAUAUUUAAUUUUAGAAUGAAGUUAUUCUGAAUGCCUACGCACUUAUGUCACUCUCCUCAUCUGAAAUUGGAUAUUAAUGAAAAAAAUAAUGGAGGAGAGUCAAGUUGGACUGUGGGGCUUUGGGUCCAGCUGUUGUGAUCCAGAUUUGUGUGACCACAUGGGGAAGCGAGCUGGAAAUAAGGGGUUCCAGCUGAGUUCCUGAGCAGGCCAGCUACCUAUAUGCAGGCUGCUUUUCCUACUCUUUAGCCUAGAAAGGGAUUUCAGCUUGAUCUUGUAUAUCAUUUAAGUGCAGAUAGAUACAGGGGCGGAACUUCACACCUGACCUUUUAGAUUGACGGAAAUUGAGACUUAGCAUUUUCAAAACCUUGAUGUAGAAUUAUCACAGCAAAAUUUUGCUACUGAAGCCAAUAGAUUGCUUUUGUCUCCGUAUGGGAACUGCUCAAUCACGGCCUGAACCUCUGAUUGAUCACCUGAGGUGAGCAUAUGAGUCAGCUACAGGAGCACAGGUGAAGGCAAUUCACCUGUGCUGCUGGAAGGGGUGGAACCUGGCUGCACCUCUCUUAGACCCAUUUAAGAGCUGACUGCCAGUAGGGAAGGAUCUCUUCUGGAGAUCUUCUCUGCUGGAGAUUCAUAGCAAACUCAGGAUUUGGUGACCUCAGCAGAAGCUUUCAUCCAGUUUCUCGGUGAAGCUGCAAAAGUCAGGCACCUGCUCCCAUCUUAAGUUCACUGCAGACUCAGGCUUGAACAGUCCAUAGGGUGCAGAAGUUCAGUUCUUUGGAAAAUGAGAACAGCGAAAAACAUUUCCUCUCUUUGACAGAGCAAUGGCAAAGCAGACUAAAAUACGGUUGAAAAGACUUUGCUUGUAAAAAUUUGUGAUAUGAUUAUGGAGUAUUUUGCCUAUGAGUAAUGGAUUGGAAUCUGUAAUUGUUGGCUCCAACGUUGUUUUUGCUAACUUGAACCACUGCAGCACUUCAAAAACGCCAUUAUGAUGGGGGUCUUAUUAAGCCAUCACCAGAGGAAGACAAAUAGUUCCCCUCCACCCCUCUCCAAAAAAUCACUAUCUAUAAAUGAGCCUGUGGGGAUAUAAACUAAAGAUUUUGAAAGUAAAUAAGUUUUGCCACAGCUCAAGAGAUUUGGAUGCAAAUUUUCCAGAAUUUAGAAUUGUUUUAAAGCUGAACUCUUCACAGCCACUCCCAGUUUGAAAAUUAAUUUCCUCCUUUUUUUUUUUUCCCCAAGGUCUUGCUAAAUAUAUUUAAUAAAUUAAAACUAAGUAUUGCCAGCUCUAUCAACAACUUUGUCUUUACGGAUAUUCCAUGCUGAGCUUUUACUAAACAGACUGAAGUAGGAGAGCAGUAAGUUCAACCUUUCUUUCUCCCCCUGAGGAGUCCACUCCCUUCGCAGAGCACAGAGUUCAGCUCUCAGCCCAGACCACCCACAUCAUGAAUGAAUGCUCUGAACUUGCCCUCCAACCACCUGGAACUGGAGAGCUGCCUUCUGAAAUAGACUAUACCCUCUUCUGCUUCCUAUUAUCUCAGGUAUAUUUUUCAGUACUUAAGCACUCUAUAGAGAAGGGUGAUACCCAUGCUACUGCUUUAAUUAUUACCGAAACGUUUACCCUCCGAGGAACAGGAAAAAUACAGGAAAAAAGACAACAGUAAGUAAAAAGCAAAGUAGAAGUAAAAAUUAUCAGUAGACUAGUGUUAUACUUAUUUACUUCAUUAUCCAUUUCUUCCCAGGUUGCAAUAGGGAACCUGAGAAGUCAGACUAGCAUGCACACAGGAGUUCGGAGCCUCUUUAUUCAAUAUAAGUAGUGUUACUACUUGGUGCUUAAGGAGAAACUGAUCACUUGAUCUGGUCACAGAUCUGCAAAGAAAUUUGGUGUUUGGUGGCUGCUGUCACUCGCACUGCUGCUGGAUGUUGGGGAAGAACCUCUAGUGGCAGUAGCAGGACUCAGGCUUAUCAUCCCUAGGGCUUCUGCUUUGGCACAGGUAAUACUGAAGUGAACACCCAUGCUUGACAAAGUUAGGGAGAGAAGCUUAAGAAGUGCCAUGAAUUGCCAAUGGAAGCAUCAGUGAGGUCUUCCUCUGAUACUUCCUAACACUUCGGCAUGCCCACUAACAACAGAAAUCAGGACAGAAUUAUGCAACCAUGGUAUAAUUAUCAAAUGGUGUCUAAAUGGUCCAUUUUCAUCUGCCUGGCAGCUCUGGAGAUGAGUUCUGGGAGGACAGGCGACACCUGUGUUCUAGAAAAGCAAGACCUUGAAGUUCAUGUUGCUGAAAGCAUAACUGACUGCUGGAAGGAGUAAACAGAAGGGUCCUCCUCCAGGAGUAGCAGAGGCUAACCAGUGCUAACAGCAGUUGUCUGUGGAAAUACUGUUAAGUUUCUGCACGAGGUCUUGUAUUUCUAAACUCUGUCCCAGCAUCUGCAGUCAGGAGAGAAGUCCAACAUUUCCCUACUACCAACCUUUGUAACAUUCAGAGAAAAUAGCAGAAUGUUUGUGUGUAAAUUUGUUUCUAGUUUUGUGCAGCGAAGAAGGGAGAGAAUUGCUGAUAAAGACUUCAUCAGAAGUGGAAUACUGAUCAACAUGUCACUACAUAAACCAAAGAUCAUUUACUGUCAGUGAUGCACUUUGAUCUUUUAUGUCAAAUUCAACCAUAGCGUAACAGCAUUAAUUGACCUUGAGGAUUUAUUUGACUUUUCUUUUUCAAAUGUUUUCAUCUUGUUUUUGGAAAAAAUAUGUGGUAACAGAUUUGCGAUGCACUUAAUUCACAUUCUUGAAGUUUAUGAUGGCCCAACCUAGCCUGUGUUCGCAUUCCAGCGUUUCCUCCUGCAUAAACCAAAGCACCUUCCAGAUGUGGUUGAUAAAUUGACUUUGGUUCUGCUCUGCAGAAGUUGUAUCAAGAUUUCUUAAUGACAAGCACGAGUUUUUAUUUGAUUUCAGUUUUUUUUCUGUACCAGUAAACUCAUUUUUUCAUAGCAACAAAGCCAGUUCUACAAGGUUCAUUCUGGAAGCCCUUUGAGGUUCCUUGCCUGCCAGGAUGGGAGGAGUCAGCUGCUGCUGGGUGAGCACUGGGAGGAGAAACAGUCUGAGAGACUUGCAGACCACCAUGCAGCCAGUAGAAGGGUGGAGGGAGAAAUGCGAACAAACAGAAUUUCCAGAUUAAUCCCUUCUUGUAUCCUGGUUUUUCUGUUCUAUCUUUUAUAUGAAAAACUCCACGCAGUGAAGCUUCAUUGUUUGUGUUUUGGGAUUUGUGCAGCAUCUAGCAGAGUAUUGUUAAAGCAAGGAUGAUUCUUCAUGGAUGAGGCAAUGCCAGCUAUGAGUGAUUUAUUUACAGACAGAAAGAAAAAUAUUUUUAAAUGCAUCAAUACCUGCUUUCAUGUGUUUUAGGUAAAACUCAUUUUCCUUUACGGUCAGGGUUUUAGAAAAACGUUAGAUUUUCCUAGGCCUAAUAUUUAAAACUUUUCUUCUCAUAAUUAAUGCAGGAUGCUGAAAAUAUUUUAAAAUGGCUUACAUAAAUAAUUGUUUCACUAAUAUGUCUAAAAACAUAACCUGUUUUCCUGGACCAGAUAGACAUUUCUUGCAACACUGCUUUUUAAUCCACAUUCCACUGCCUGGAAGAGAUACAUUUAAUUCUUUGGAAAAGAUCUCUAAGAAGUGAGAAAUUGAAAAAUGCUGGCUCCGUUAUUUUUUAGAGCCAGUACAUUUCCCUUUGCUUCAUGGUUGCCAAGAGCUUUUAUCCAUUAAGGAUACUCAGACUUACAUCUACUCAGUUCACUUACACAGAUCCAUAUAUUAUGAGGUUCUGGGUUCCAGAGUAAGUCUUACACAAAGCGCUGCUGAAAUGGUCUCGCAGGAUGCAAGGGGCCGUCCAUAUAGUGACAGCUAACAGACUGUUAGGGAAGCAUUGUUAGAUUUGCUGCAUACCAAAGGGAAAAGCACUCUCUCUAAAUUAAAAAAAAAUAAUAAUUAAUUUAGCGUGUUAUGUAAAUUUGAGAACAUAUGAUGUUUGUAUGUCAACCUGAGCUGAGCCUGCUUAUAGUGUAAUGCACUCCUUUCUAGUAACUGUAAUGUUGUAUUUUAUGCAUUCUCAUUCUUAUAUAUUUUCAUAACUGAUUGGCUUCCUUUUGUGUCACUCAAACAGAAUUUAUGCUCUUUCUACAGCACUUUGCUAUGUGAGCUGCACAGAGAUUUCUGAUAAUACUCAUCAGGUGAAUUGCUUUCACCUCUUUCCUAGUUGUCUUCUCUUAUCUUGUUAGACUUAUUUCCAUGGCUAUGUCUGAUAUAAUCCAAGUGCGUGUCCAGGGCUUCUCAGCACAGGAAACAGAGCCUACUUUUUCAAGUAAUUCUCCUAAUGUGAACACUCUUAGACAUAGCAGUCACACAAGGAUAUUUGCCAGCACCACCUUUCAAAUCAUUCCAUUCUGUGCUUUUCGAUGACAUUAAAAUCUCACAAUUCACUUUCACAAGGCCCUGUGGGAAAAGCAAGUCUUUGGGUCAGUCAUUUUGAGGUGUUAUGUUUUCGUUUUAACUCCGAUUUUUCACUAGGGGAGGUGGCUGAUCCCAGUUUUUCCUGCUUCCUUGGAACAUCUUCCUUGGCUCCUUAGAGGGGAUUUCAAGCUCACUGAGCCUGCUUUUGUUAGUGGUUUUUUACUCACCUAUUUUUACUGAGGGUGGAUGAGUGGAUUUGUGUUUUUGCCACAUUCAAUGAUGGUUACUUGUCAUCUGUUUCUACAGAUUCAAAUUUUGGUUAUGUUGAGCCAGUGAUGGACAAACAGAGCACUGUGAUGUGUUAAUGACUUAGCUUGCUCCCUCUCUGUUACCAGCAUUUGUGCACGUUCUGGUCAGUUCCACGGCAUGGAGGCUUGUGAUGGGCACAGUGAGACUCGUCAGAUUGGUCUGCAGUGCUCUCCAUGGACAUCAUAGCUUUUUCCAUUUAAACUGCCCUCUCGGAGUAUUUCUUACAUGUUUCCGUGACACAGUGAACAUUUGUUAUUUCACCAUGUGGACUUGAGUAUAUUUAGUUCUGUUGGUCACUGCACUAUAUUCUCUGUGCAGUUCCCUCUGCUGAUCAGAAAGGACUUUCCCAUAGCAUUAAGAAAAUUACGUAUUUAUCACAGCUCCUCUACAUAUACCUCCUUGUCAUGUCCUGCUCAUAAGGGGAGGAGAAAAGGAGUGACAUUUACAUUCCUCAUGGUGAGCAGAUCCUUUCACCCUGCCGCUUUCCUGCACAGACAGCUGCACAGGGCCAGAAGAGACCAACAUUUUGUUUGCCUGAAACUUUUAACAAGCCCCUCUGGUGUAUCCAUAGAAUGGUUGGGGUUGAAAGGGGCCGUUAAGAACCUCUAUUUCCAACUCCCUCGCUGUAGGCAGUAACACCUCCUACUAGACCAGGUUGCUCACGGCCUUAUCCUGCCUGGCCUUGAAUGCUUCCAGGGAGAGGGCAUUCACAGCCUUGUUGGGCAACCUGCUCCAGUGUCUCAUCAGUAAAGUUCUUUACGGUUCCAGUGUCACCAUAAAGAAUUUCUUCCUACUAUCUAAUCUACAUCUACCCUCCUUCAGUUUAAAGCCAUUUCCCUUCAUCCUGUUGCUGCAUCCCCUUAUAAAAAGUUCCUCCCCAGCUUUCCUGUGAAAAUAACAGUUUGUGAAUGUCCUUGUGUAAGUCAGCCUCCCCUGAACAAUAUGAAGGAGCAAUCCUUUUACGUACUCUUCUGAUGCGCGCUACUUAAGCUGUCCUCGUCCCCUCAGUGUGAUAGCUGACUGAUUUGAUCACUCCCAUGGGAAUUUUUAGUAGAAACAAGAUUUUGGCUCUCCUUUUUAUUUCCCUCUGGAAAUUUGAUUAGAAUCUGUACACUGCAAUUCAACAAUGCAAAGUUUCUAACAGCUUUAGAGUGCAUGCAUUGUAUUGAGGUUUGCUUCUUAAACAUAGAUCUCUUGUGGAAUAAUUGAUACCUUGAAUAAUUUGUAUCUGAAAUGUUGGCUGUUACUCAAAGGCAUCAGAAAUCUGUCUCUUUGGUUACCAUCAAGAGUCUUCUAGAAGAAGAUGCUAAGUGAGUAUGGUUAAUAUCAGAGUGGCUGUGAUUCGCAGUAGGACUGGACAGUAAUACAAGCACUGCAGAGUUUGUUCCUGCAUUUUUCCUGCUCUUCUACUCAGAACUAAAUGUUGCACUUGGCGGAUAUAUAGUAGAUGAAGUCACAGCGCACCUUCUUGCCUGCCUUUCAGCAGCUAUCUUUAAGCAAGAUUUGCUGGAAAAAUCCUGAUGUUGUUUUGUUGGCCUUGUGGAAGAAACUUGAAGUGCUUCUGAAACAUAAAAAAACACGUGAGUCACAGGGUCCAUUGUGUAAGGAGAUUAGGAAUCAAAUAAUGAUGUACUGUGUACUAGCCAAACUACGCUUUGUCACAGAAAGAGACUUAAUGAAAUUCUGGAGUUUCUCAACCAAAAUAAGGAUAACUCUUUUUAUAUUUUAUUUUCAUGAAAAGGAUAGAUUAAAAUGUUUUAGAGGAGACAGAAUAUGAAGAUGUGGUUCUAAAUUUCUGCUUGGAAAAAGAAAAAUUGAACAGGAUGAGGAAAGUGAUGUUUUUCUCCUCUGGAUUUUGUAGUUGCACUAUUUGGAUUGAUCUCGCUGUAGAAAAUUUCCUUUCUUUAGAAGAAGCAUUUUGGCUUUGUCCAAACAGCAAUAAGAGAACACUUUCAGGUGUAAAAACUACAGAUCUAUUGGGCAACCCAACGAAAUUUAGAAACCUGAGAAUAAUAGAAAGCAAAUCUGUUAGCAAUUGCCAUUCAUAUCAGAGAGACGUCUUGCAAAAAACUUCUGGAUUCUAGAUUCAGGGAAGGGAAAUAUUAAGCAAAGCACUGACAAGAACAAUGAAACGGUCCAUGAAAUUUUGGCCAUCAAUACUAGAGAAUUCAUGUUUGCUUAUACAUCUUUGGUUGUGGCUCUGAAAAAAGUGAAUACUUCUGCAGUUCUUUUUAUUCAGUUUCUUCAUAUUCGUAGCUGCUGUGUAUUUUGUUGAUCGUGUAUUGAUGACUCAGAAUGAAAACUUGUAAGAUGAGCAAAUCAGAAAUAAAAACAUUAUAGAAAGUC
Molecule: long non-coding RNA, 7580 nt
Organism: Tympanuchus pallidicinctus (lesser prairie-chicken)
Lineage: Eukaryota; Metazoa; Chordata; Aves; Galliformes; Phasianidae
Exons: 2
Source: RefSeq, a predicted model, not a curated record